UACGGAGGGUGCUAGCGUUGUUCGGAAUUACUGGGCGUAAAGGGCGCGUAGGCGGCCGUUUGCGUCGGAUGUGAAAGCCCGGGGCUCAACCUCGGAACGGCAUUCGAUACGGGACGGCUGGAGACCGGGAGAGGAGAGUGGAAUAGCCAGUGUAGAGGUGAAAUUCGUAGAUAUUGGCUGGAACACCGGUGGCGAAAGCGGCUCUCUGGCCCGUAAUUGACGCUGAGGCGCGAAAGCGUGGGGAGCAAACAGG
This 253-nucleotide ribosomal RNA is filed under the name uncultured bacterium. RNAcentral's name for it is "partial 16S ribosomal RNA". It matches the Rfam family "Bacterial small subunit ribosomal RNA", at positions 524 to 776 of the family's 1533-position model. The record is from RNAcentral.